RNAcentral lists this ribosomal RNA (253 nucleotides) under uncultured bacterium. RNAcentral describes it as "partial 16S ribosomal RNA". It matches the Rfam family "Bacterial small subunit ribosomal RNA", at positions 524 to 776 of the family's 1533-position model. The record is from RNAcentral.
UACGUAGGUGGCGAGCGUUGUCCGGAUUUACUGGGCGUAAAGCGCGCGUAGGUGGCCGGAAAAGUCCCCCGUGAAAGGUUGCGGCCCAACCGCAACACGGCGGGAGAUACUCUCCGGCUUGAGGGCAGCAGAGGUCGGUGGAAUUCCCGGUGGAGUGGUGAAAUGCGUAGGUAUCGGGAGGAACACCAGAGGCGAAGGCGGCCGGCCGGGCUGUCCCUGACACUGAGGUGCGAAAGCGUGGGGAGCGAACCGG